Molecule: ribosomal RNA, 729 nt
Filed under: Candidatus Tremblayella phenacoccinincola
Lineage: Bacteria; Pseudomonadati; Pseudomonadota; Betaproteobacteria
Description: bacterial SSU rRNA
Rfam family: Bacterial small subunit ribosomal RNA
Source: RNAcentral
GGGAUAGAAUUCCAGGAGUAGCGGUGAAAUGCGUAGAUAUCUGGAGGUAUACCAAAGGCGAAGGCAGUCCCCUGGUCCGAUACUGACACUGAGGUACGAAAGCGUGGGGAGCAAACAGGAUUAGAUACCCUGGUAGUCCACGCCCUAAACGAUGUCGAUUAGCCAUUGGAAGGACCCCUUUUCCUUUCAGUGACGUAGCUAACGCGUUAAAUCGACCGCCUGGGAAGUACGACCGCAAGGUUAAAACUCAAAGGAAUUGACGGGGACCUGAACAAGCGGUGAAUGAUGUGGAUUAAUUCGAUGCUACGCGAAGAACCUUACCUACCUUUGACAUGGCCAAAGUUCUACCGAGAGGCGGAAGUACUCGUAAGAGGAUUGGCGCACAGGUGCUGCAUGGUUGUCGUCAGUUCGUGUCGUGAGAUGUUGGGUUCAGUCCCGCAACGAACGCAACCCUUAUCUUUAAUUGCUCCUAUUUUAACAGGCACUUUAAAGAAACUGCCAAUGAUAAGUUGGAGGAAGGUGGGGAUCACGUCAAGUCCGCAUGGCCUUUAUAGGUAGGGCUUCACACGUCAUACAAUGGUUAGAACAAAGAGCUGCAAAUUCGUAAGAAGGAGCCAAUCUCACAGACCUAACCUCAGUUCGAAUUGCGGUCUGCAACUCGAGCGCAUGAAGCCGGAAUCGCUAGUAAUCGUGGAUCAGAAUGCCACGGUGAAUACGUUCUUAGGUCUU